UAGGGAAUCUUCCGCAAUGGGCGAAAGCCUGACGGAGCAACGCCGCGUGAGUGAUGAAGGUCUUCGGAUCGUAAAACUCUGUUAUUAGGGAAGAACAAAUGUGUAAGUAACUAUGCACGUCUUGACGGUACCUAAUCAGAAAGCCACGGCUAACUACGUGCCAGCAGCCGCGGUAAUACGUAGGUGGCAAGCGGUAUCCGGAAUUAUUGGGCGUAAAGCGCGCGUAGGCGGUUUUUUAAGUCUGAUGUGAAAGCCCACGGCUAAACCGUGGAGGGUCAUUGGAAAAUGGAAAACUUGAGUGCAGAAGAGGAAAGUGGAAUUCCGUGUGUAGCGGUGAAAUGCGCAGAGAUAUGGAGGAAAAACAGUGGCGAAGGAGACUUUCUGGUCUGUAACUGACGCUGAUGUGCGAAAGCGUGGGGAUCAAACAGG
This 429-nucleotide ribosomal RNA is filed under the name Actinomycetes bacterium. RNAcentral describes it as "Actinobacteria bacterium partial 16S ribosomal RNA". It matches the Rfam family "Bacterial small subunit ribosomal RNA", at positions 355 to 776 of the family's 1533-position model. The record is from RNAcentral. Lineage: Bacteria; Bacillati; Actinomycetota; Actinomycetes.